CCUACGGGAGGCAGCAGUGGGGAAUCUUGCGCAAUGGGCGAAAGCCUGAUGCAGCAACGCCGCGUGGGUGAUGAAGGUCUUCGGAUUGUAAAACCCUGUCGUUACGGACGAAGGCAUGAAUCUUAAUACGGUUCAGUUGACAGUACCUGAGAGAGCUGCCC
RNAcentral lists this ribosomal RNA (161 nucleotides) under uncultured freshwater bacterium. RNAcentral describes it as "partial 16S ribosomal RNA". It matches the Rfam family "Bacterial small subunit ribosomal RNA", at positions 338 to 493 of the family's 1533-position model. The record is from RNAcentral.